AAAUAAACUAACUUACAUUCUGAAACACGAAAAUCUGAACCAAAUAUUCACUCUUUCCUGUUUUAAAAAAGACUUUAUAUUUAUUUUAUUAUUUUUUAUGAUUAUUAAUUUUUUAAAAAAGUUUUUAUUUAAUUUCAGAAAUCCAGUAUUGCAUUA
Molecule: long non-coding RNA, 156 nt
Organism: Lutra lutra (Eurasian river otter)
Lineage: Eukaryota; Metazoa; Chordata; Mammalia; Carnivora; Mustelidae
Exons: 3
Source: RefSeq, a predicted model, not a curated record